GCAUAAUCUAUCAUCUGAAGCAAUGGUAAGAAAUUAAUAUAUUCUGUGGAUCACGAAUCUCUGGAAUUCACAUAUUCCAUAACAUUGUUUACUCAAAUAAAUUAAAAAAAAAUAAAAAAAAAAUGCCUGAGUAGUAAUCUGUAAUGGAACCCUUUGAACUGAACUACGGCUCGCAAGCUGUAAAAUGGACCUGCAAAAUUGAUUAUUCAUAAAAUUGAAGGGAAAAAAACCCUCGAAGGAAUAACUUAGUUAAACGAACAUUUGCCAUAGGCUAUACAUGUACGCGUUUAUGAAUCGUGGGCUUACCUACGAAACAUUUUGGAUUGGGAUUUUGGGAAUUGUGUAGAGAGUUGGAUGGGGCAAGUUGAAUCCUUAAGUAGUUUUUAAGCAACGUUUCUAGACAAGGGGGAUCAGAAAUGGAAAUGGAAAGGUGCAGGCCGCAGUACAACAGGUAGACGCGAAAGGGCCAUGGGGUAUUUUGGUUUUGGGUUUUGAGUAAGGGGGCGG
This 507-nucleotide long non-coding RNA is filed under the name Olea europaea (common olive). RNAcentral describes it as "long non-coding RNA (OEUR_LNC005872)". The record is from RNAcentral. Lineage: Eukaryota; Viridiplantae; Streptophyta; Magnoliopsida; Lamiales; Oleaceae.